This 640-nucleotide ribosomal RNA is filed under the name Lacticaseibacillus rhamnosus. Its description in RNAcentral is "bacterial SSU rRNA". It matches the Rfam family "Bacterial small subunit ribosomal RNA", at positions 371 to 1003 of the family's 1533-position model. The record is from RNAcentral. Lineage: Bacteria; Bacillati; Bacillota; Bacilli; Lactobacillales; Lactobacillaceae.
AUGGACGCAAGUCUGAUGGAGCAACGCCGCGUGAGUGAAGAAGGCUUUCGGGUCGUAAAACUCUGUUGUUGGAGAAGAAUGGUCGGCAGAGUAACUGUUGUCGGCGUGACGGUAUCCAACCAGAAAGCCACGGCUAACUACGUGCCAGCAGCCGCGGUAAUACGUAGGUGGCAAGCGUUAUCCGGAUUUAUUGGGCGUAAAGCGAGCGCAGGCGGUUUUUUAAGUCUGAUGUGAAAGCCCUCGGCUUAACCGAGAAAGUGCAUCGGAAACUGGGAAACUUGAGUGCAGAAGAGGACAGUGGAACUCCAUGUGUAGCGGUGAAAUGCGUAGAUAUAUGGAAGAACACCAGUGGCGAAGGCGGCUGUCUGGUCUGUAACUGACGCUGAGGCUCGAAAGCAUGGGUAGCGAACAGGAUUAGAUACCCUGGUAGUCCAUGCCGUAAACGAUGAAUGCUAGGUGUUGGAGGGUUUCCGCCCUUCAGUGCUGCAGCUAACGCAUUAAGCAUUCCGCCUGGGGAGUACGACCGCAAGGUUGAAACUCAAAGGAAUUGACGGGGGCCCGCACAAGCGGUGGAGCAUGUGGUUUAAUUCGAAGCAACGCGAAGAACCUUACCGGUCUUGACAUCUUUUGAUCACCUGAG